UACGUAGGCAGCGAGCGUUGUUCGGAGUUACUGGGCGUAAAGCGUGCGUAGGCGGUGUCUUAAGUUUGUUGUGAAAUCUCCCGGCUUAACCGGGAGGGUGCGGCGAAUACUGAGAUGCUGGAGUGCCGGAGAGGUAAGCGGAAUUCCUGGUGUAGCGGUGAAAUGCGUAGAUAUCAGGAGGAACACCUGCGGUGUAGACGGCUUACUGGACGGUAACUGACGCUGAGACACGAAAGCGUGGGGAGCAAACAGG
RNAcentral lists this ribosomal RNA (253 nucleotides) under uncultured bacterium. RNAcentral's name for it is "partial 16S ribosomal RNA". It matches the Rfam family "Bacterial small subunit ribosomal RNA", at positions 524 to 776 of the family's 1533-position model. The record is from RNAcentral.